UACAGAGGGGGCAAGCGUUAUUCGGAAUUAUUGGGCGUAAAGAGCUCGUAGGCGGCCUGUUGCGUCCGCUGUGAAAGCCCGGGGCUUAACCCCGGGUCGGCAGUGGAUACGGGCAGGCUAGAGGUAGGUAGGGGAGAAUGGAAUUCCCGGUGUAGCGGUGAAAUGCGCAGAUAUCGGGAGGAACACCGGUGGCGAAGGCGGUUCUCUGGGCCUUACCUGACGCUGAGGAGCGAAAGCGUGGGGAGCGAACAGG
RNAcentral lists this ribosomal RNA (253 nucleotides) under uncultured bacterium. RNAcentral's name for it is "partial 16S ribosomal RNA". It matches the Rfam family "Bacterial small subunit ribosomal RNA", at positions 524 to 776 of the family's 1533-position model. The record is from RNAcentral.